RNAcentral lists this ribosomal RNA (497 nucleotides) under uncultured bacterium. Its description in RNAcentral is "partial 16S ribosomal RNA". It matches the Rfam family "Bacterial small subunit ribosomal RNA", at positions 28 to 507 of the family's 1533-position model. The record is from RNAcentral.
GAUGAACGCUGGCGGCGUGCCUAAUACAUGCCAGUCGAGCGAACGGACGAGAAGCUUGCUUGUCUGAUGUUAGCGGCGGACGGGUGAGUAACACGUGGAUAACCUACCUAUAAGACUGGGAUAACUUCGGGAAACCGGAGCUAAUACCGGAUAAUAUUUUGAACCGCAUGGUUCAAAAGUGAAAGACGGUCUUGCUGUCACUUAUAGAUGGAUCCGCGCUGCAUUAGCUAGUUGGUAAGGUAACGGCUUACCAAGGCAACGAUGCAUAGCCGACCUGAGAGGGUGAUCGCCCACACUGGAACUGAGACACGGUCCCGACUCCUACGGGGAGCCGCAGUCGGGAAUCUUCCGCAAUGGGCGAAAGCCUGACGGAGCAACGCCGCGUGAGUGAUGAAGGUCUUCGGAUCGUAAAACUCUGUUAUUAGGGAAGAACAUAUGUGUAAGUAACUGUGCACAUCUUGACGGUACCUAAUCAGAAAGCCACGGCUAACUACGUG